GAUUCGCGAUGCUCAAGAUCUUCUUGGAGAACAUGAUUCACAAGGCUGAGUAAUGGGUUUGAAGUAGUUAACAGUUGCUUUGCAGAGGAGAUUUCCUUGGAUCUUGCUCCUGAGUCAAAGUUUUUCAUAGUUUGGUUAUUGCAAUAUGGAAAUAACCCAACUGUCCGGUUCACUGGCUUGUGGAAUUAUUGUUAAGAAAUGUGAAAGAAGGUCAAUUAAAAACAUGGCGAAAAGAUUUGGGCCCAAAAUCUCAAGGGAAGGCUUAUGUGUCACUAAAACUGAGAAAGUAUGAGUAUGAAGUUGAAGUAUCACAAUCUCAUGCAGAGUGCUGACUAUUUGCAUCCAAUUUCUCUGCUACAGUUAUUAUAUAUUUGUAUUCUCAGCUAAAAUUUAAUUAUUAAGCAUUACAUUAA
This is a long non-coding RNA of Quercus lobata, 413 nucleotides long. RefSeq lists it as uncharacterized. Lineage: Eukaryota; Viridiplantae; Streptophyta; Magnoliopsida; Fagales; Fagaceae. The transcript has 2 exons. The record is from RefSeq and is a predicted model, not a curated record.